ACAUCUAAAUCUUCCCCAUUUCUUUCUGCUUCGUAUUAGUGUGUGGACAGAUAGUGUUACAAGUACUAACAGAGGAGAUCCCAACAAGUCAUGUCCAUUUGUCUGGAGACCAGUCUUUAUCAUUCUGCCACGUUU
Molecule: small nucleolar RNA, 135 nt
Organism: Suncus etruscus (white-toothed pygmy shrew)
Lineage: Eukaryota; Metazoa; Chordata; Mammalia; Eulipotyphla; Soricidae
Product: small nucleolar RNA SNORA55
Exons: 1
Source: RefSeq, a predicted model, not a curated record